GCUCACUUUGACAGCACAUAUGCUAAAAUUGGAAUAAUACAGAGAUUAUCAUGGCCCUUGCACAAGGACAACACACAAACUCAAGAAGCAUUCCAUAAUUUU
Molecule: small nuclear RNA, 102 nt
Organism: Arvicola amphibius (Eurasian water vole)
Lineage: Eukaryota; Metazoa; Chordata; Mammalia; Rodentia; Cricetidae
Source: RefSeq, a predicted model, not a curated record